This is a long non-coding RNA of Uranotaenia lowii, 1212 nucleotides long. RefSeq lists it as uncharacterized. NCBI's taxonomy places the organism in Eukaryota, Metazoa, Arthropoda, Insecta, Diptera, Culicidae. The transcript is spliced from 4 exons. The record is from RefSeq and is a predicted model, not a curated record.
AAUUUAAUUUUCACCAAAUUUCCAUUUUUGCGGCGUCCCUACUAGAAAUCAUAAUGUACUAUUACUGGAAGAUACAGUUUAUGAUCUUAAAAACGAAUUUGAUUUGUGUCUUUACUUCACGUCAUUCAUAAAGAAACAAAAUGGCGUUUUCGAGCGAGUUCGAGGUUGCAAUUCUUAAGAAAAAGACGUUCUCUCGCGAAAUUUUCUGCAUCGUAACGCAAGCUAUACCGCAAUCGGUGCGGAAACAGUGGCCGAUGGAACCAGUGUGGAAAAAAGCGAAACUUUACGAGGUGGUUUCUACAGGAAUUGUACGAAAGAAGUCAACUCAGAAGAUAUUUUAUCCGAAGAACUGGAUCUUACAGCUUGAAAGGAACUGUAAAUUAGACAGGCCAAAAAUUUGUUCCGGUAUAAAUAAUACCAGUGCCGUUUCCCCAGCAGCAGUGGAGGAUAGAGCUCGGACCAAACCAAGCUUUUGACCUAUGCUUUAACGGCAGCUGAAUAGCAAUGUUGCCGAUGGAAUGGCACAGGAAAUUGUCGACAGAAAUAGUAUCGUUAGGCGGGAAUGGAAAAUGAAAGAAGCGAAUACUUUCCUGUCGCUGCUGUUUCAAUCGUACCGGUACCGGUAAUUCAAACUCCCGGAAGGUGUGCCGAACCUCGGUCAAGCUGGAAGAAUCGGCCCGUGGAGCAUGAAUCAUCACCGGAAGGAUUAUUCUACAGUGUUUCAGAUGCGACGAGGAAGUGUGGUCAGUGGAGGAAGUUUACAAAAGAGUCGAAGUAGUUCAAGUUAAAAGUUUGUGCUAACAAUUUAGUGUCCGCGGCUACCGGUGAUAGAAUUGGAAGCGCCACUGAAGCUGUUCAACAUCCAAAAAAACAACGAAACGCUGCCGACAGAGCUGUGCUCGCCUAAGUUUUCUUCGUUCCCGAGCUGUGCCUCGAUCGAAAAUGACGCCAGUCUGCUCAAGGUGAGCGGUUCGAUGGCUACCAAAUGGAAACGGCUGAUGGAAAACUUCUCUUCUUUGGAUGCACUCAAGAACAAUGCCGCGGAGCAGUUCGAUGCUCGUGAAUUUUUUUCUCAAACUUUUGGAGUUCAAUCAAGAGAUGUGAAUUUUGUGGCCAGCAACGGGAACGUUACCUUCGACGCAGCAGAACAGAUAUUCUCCGCUGCGUGAACUUAUGCUUCACCUGGUUCUCUUACGGCUGAGGUUAAUAACU